AGCAGACCGCUGGUGGAAAUUCAAACAGAUCACCCUACCUGUUUCAGUUACUUAGGAAUAGUUCCUGAUGGCCUUUCAUGCAGAGUACCUUCCAAAGCAUCUUCGACAUCUGAAGGAGAUGGAGUUUGUAUAGUUGGUGCAGGGGAAUAUGACUGUGUCGGAAUAUGUUCGCAAGUUUCUAGAGUUGGGCCGGUAUUCCCCUAAGACAUUGUUGGAUGAAGACAUGAAGGCUAGAUGGUUUGAGUGGGGUCUCUGUCUAGAGAUCAGACAGUAAUUGUUUGUGCUGGAGCUCAGGACUUAUUC
This 303-nucleotide long non-coding RNA is filed under the name Carica papaya (papaya). RNAcentral's name for it is "long non-coding RNA (CPAP_LNC000341)". The record is from RNAcentral. Lineage: Eukaryota; Viridiplantae; Streptophyta; Magnoliopsida; Brassicales; Caricaceae.